RNAcentral lists this ribosomal RNA (460 nucleotides) under uncultured bacterium. Its description in RNAcentral is "partial 16S ribosomal RNA". It matches the Rfam family "Bacterial small subunit ribosomal RNA", at positions 338 to 795 of the family's 1533-position model. The record is from RNAcentral.
CCUACGGGAGACAGCAGUGAGGAAUAUUGGUCAAUGGGCGCGAGCCUGAACCAGCCAAGUCGCGUGAGGGAAGACGGUCCUAUGGAUUGUAAACCUCUUUUGUCGGGGAGCAAAAGACGCCACGCGUGGCGUUACGAGAGUACACGAAGAAAAAGCAUCGGCUAACCCCGGGGCAGCAGCCGGCGUAAUACGGAGGAUUCUGACGUUAAUCGGAUUUAUUGGGGGUAAAGGGGGCGUAGGUGGGUAAUCAAGUCAGCGGUGAAAGUUUGUGGCUCAACCAUAAAAUUGCCGUUGAAACUGGGUGUCUGGAGUGUAUGUGAGGUAUGCGGAAUGCGUGGUGUAGCGGUGAAAUGCAUAGAUAUCACGCAGAACUCCGAUUGCGAAGGCAGCUUACUGAACUCUAACUGACACUGAAGCACGAAAGCGUGGGGAUCAAACAGGAUUAGAUACCCUUGUAGUC